Molecule: long non-coding RNA, 326 nt
Organism: Cynara cardunculus var. scolymus (artichoke)
Lineage: Eukaryota; Viridiplantae; Streptophyta; Magnoliopsida; Asterales; Asteraceae
Exons: 2
Source: RefSeq, a predicted model, not a curated record
UAUAGAAACAAAGAAAGGGAUGGCGAUGGUGGAACUCUUGGCAGUCGGGUGCACGGCAAUCGUCAUGUUACUCCAUGGAACCAAUUUUGUGUUCCAUGCUUUCGUUCAUCAAAUCUCCGUUCGAACGAUCAGUUUCUUGGGAUGUGUUUGGUAACAUACAGAUGCGGAGAUGAGUCGUUGGUGGUUGGAAUUCGAUUUCCAACGGAACGGAAUUGUGAAUAUUUUUAUAUAAUUUGUAGACAAUAAUUUGCUUGGUUUGGAAUGUAUUAUUGAUGCAUGUUCUAAAAAAACCCAAUUUUAAUGAAGAUGACAAUGAUUAAGCAGUA